CUACGGGCCGCACCAGUGAGGAAUAUUGCGCAAUGGGGGAAACCCUGACGCAGCGACGCCGCGUGGAUGAUGAAGGCCUUCGGGUCGUAAAGCUCUGUCCUCAAGGAAGAAUUUUGACGGUACUUGAGGAGGAAGCCCCGGCUAACUACGUGCCAGCAGCCGCGGUAAUACGUAGGGGGCUAGCGUUAUCCGGAAUUACUGGGCGUAAAGGGUGCGUAGGUGGUCUGACAAGUCAGGGGUGAAAGGCUACGGCUCAACCGUAGUAAGCCCUUGAAACUGUCGGACUUGAGUGCAGGAGAGGAGAGUGGAAUUCCAAGUGUAGCGGUGAAAUGCGUAGAUAUUGGGAGGAACAUCAGUGGCGAAGGCGACUUUCUGGACUGUAACCGACACUGAGGCACGAAAGCGUGGGGAGCAAACAGGAUUAGAUACCCUGGUAGUC
RNAcentral lists this ribosomal RNA (439 nucleotides) under uncultured bacterium. Its description in RNAcentral is "partial 16S ribosomal RNA". It matches the Rfam family "Bacterial small subunit ribosomal RNA", at positions 339 to 795 of the family's 1533-position model. The record is from RNAcentral.